Molecule: long non-coding RNA, 1019 nt
Organism: Poecilia latipinna (sailfin molly)
Lineage: Eukaryota; Metazoa; Chordata; Actinopteri; Cyprinodontiformes; Poeciliidae
Exons: 5
Source: RefSeq, a predicted model, not a curated record
CGUUCCUUCACAAACACCGGUAUAUUGUUUUAAUAAAGUAGCAUGGCAGACUUCCGGUAUGCUAAAAUGACAUCUGCUCAGCAGUGAACUCAGCUGCUCGAACAAGAUCCUCGUUUCACUCUUCAAUUUUUUCUAUACUUUCGAAGUCCUACCAUGGAUAAAUACACUACUUUUGUAGGUGAGACUAGCUGCCUGUUGUCUGUCUUCAGUGUCAAGAGAUCCAGCUGAGUCGGAAGAAGAGUUGGAGUCAGGAUUUGCCCUAAUCCUCCAUUUCCGUGUUAAAAAGAAACAUUGAAGAUGUGGAACAAGAGGAAGGAAAAAGUUUGACAGAGAAGCAGUAAGAUCCAGAAGGGAAACCCUGACAUUCCCCUGGAUGAACACAGUCUCCAACUCAUGCUGAGGGUUCCCAAGGUGUUAAUAGUUCCUCCAGGAGGUUCUGGGGUCUCCUACAUAAGGGCUGUACCCAGAAAACAUCACAAGAAACUCAUUCAGGGUGCGUCCUGUUCAUCCAUCCACCUCCUGCUUCAUCCAACCAUCACUCCUGAACAAGACACCAAGAUAUUUGAAUGCCUCGAGGAAGAAAUCUACUUCAGUCUGGUGACGAACCGUGGAAACAACAACCCUUACUAACCAAAGACCUUCCUCUCAACGACGACGCGUGGAGAUCAUGACCAAAUGAGAUUGUUACUGAGUGGCUGGUGGAGUUCAACCCAAACUGGGAACAUUUCCUUAACAGGACAAUUUGGUAAUUGUACAGUUGGGACACCCGAGUGUCCCAACUGUAACACAGUCACAAGUCUUCUCUAGUGCCACACAACACAUUUGGACCAAAGCUAUCAACUCCUUUUGACCAAUUAUUCCUACAUUUUUUUUUUUAUUUAGUUUUAGAAAUAAUGGUUAAAAUAAUGGAAUAAUGGUUAAAAUCAGUCAUAUGUGCCCCAGUCUGUUUGAUAUGGAUCAAAUUAAAACCAAUAUGAUCUUGUGUUGACGUCUUUGGUUGGAUAUCAAUAAAGUUUUUG